RNAcentral lists this small nuclear RNA (23 nucleotides) under Arabidopsis thaliana (thale cress). RNAcentral describes it as "snRNA_17672". The record is from RNAcentral. Lineage: Eukaryota; Viridiplantae; Streptophyta; Magnoliopsida; Brassicales; Brassicaceae.
AUCCUAUAAACUUUAUCCAACAG